RNAcentral lists this long non-coding RNA (268 nucleotides) under Nicotiana benthamiana. RNAcentral's name for it is "long non-coding RNA (NBEN_LNC015092)". Lineage: Eukaryota; Viridiplantae; Streptophyta; Magnoliopsida; Solanales; Solanaceae. The record is from RNAcentral.
GCACACGUCAUGGUGUAAAUUUAAAGUUUAUCAAUAUUGAUAAUUUAUUCAGUUGGCAUUCGGGUUAGCCAUCUCAUUUUAAGUAUAAUGUGCAGUAAUAGAGAAUUCACAUGGGUAAAUAUUAAAGAACUAGAAAGUUCUUUACGAAUUCUCUUAUAUUUCUUUUUCUCAUUAAUUGAUUGACCAACUAAAGAGUUCGGGUUGAAUCCCAUAAAUUCUGUAUAUAUCAAAGGUGAAUAUGGGCCCAUUCACCUGCCAUGUAUACCAC